CCCAUGACCACGGGAUAACCCGUUGAAAGACGGCCUAAUACCGUAUGACGUCGUUUGCCGACAUCGAAAAGACGACCAAAGGUUUGGCGGUGAUGGAUGGGGAUGCGUCUGAUUAGCUUGGUUGGCGGGUAACGGCCCACCAAGGCGACGAUCAGUAGGGGUUCUGAGAGGAAGGUCCCCCACAUUGGAACUGAGACACGGUCCAAACUCCUACGGGAGGCAGCAGUGAGGAAUAUUGGUCAAUGGGCGAGAGCCUGAACCAGCCAAGUAGCGUGCAGGAUGACGGCCCUAUGGGUUGUAAACUGCUUUUACGCGGGGAUAAAGUGCGUGACGUGUCUCGCAUUGCAGGUACCGCGUGAAUAAGGACCGGCUAAUUCCGUGCCAGCAGCCGCGGUAAAU
Molecule: ribosomal RNA, 399 nt
Filed under: uncultured Prevotella sp.
Lineage: Bacteria; Pseudomonadati; Bacteroidota; Bacteroidia; Bacteroidales; Prevotellaceae
Description: bacterial SSU rRNA
Rfam family: Bacterial small subunit ribosomal RNA
Source: RNAcentral